AUUUAAGUAGUUUAUUAAAAUAUGGGCUUGUGGUGCCUAAGAUGUAAGUAUUACCUUAAAUA
Molecule: transfer RNA, 62 nt
Filed under: Peploptera acromialis
Lineage: Eukaryota; Metazoa; Arthropoda; Insecta; Coleoptera; Chrysomelidae
Description: tRNA-His
Rfam family: tRNA
About the family: Transfer RNA (tRNA) molecules are approximately 80 nucleotides in length.
Source: RNAcentral